This 72-nucleotide transfer RNA is filed under the name Stegodyphus mimosarum. It matches the Rfam family "tRNA". From Rfam's summary of the family: Transfer RNA (tRNA) molecules are approximately 80 nucleotides in length. Their secondary structure includes four short double-helical elements and three loops (D, anti-codon, and T loops). Further hydrogen bonds mediate the characteristic L-shaped molecular structure. tRNAs have two regions of fundamental functional importance: the anti-codon, which is responsible for specific mRNA codon recognition, and the 3' end, to which the tRNAs corresponding amino acid is attached (by aminoacyl-tRNA synthetases). tRNAs cope with the degeneracy of the genetic code in two manners: having more than one tRNA (with a specific anti-codon) for a particular amino acid; and 'wobble' base-pairing, i.e. permitting non-standard base-pairing at the 3rd anti-codon position. The record is from Rfam by way of RNAcentral. Lineage: Eukaryota; Metazoa; Arthropoda; Arachnida; Araneae; Eresidae.
GCCUUUGUGGUGUAGUGGUCAGCACGCUCGAUGCGUAACCGAGAGGUCCGUGGUUCGAUCCCUACGAAGGCG